UACGGAGGAUCCAAGCGUUAUCCGGAAUCAUUGGGUUUAAAGGGUCCGUAGGCGGUUUAAUAAGUCAGUGGUGAAAGCCCAUCGCCCAACGGUGGAACGGCCAUUGAUACUGUUAAACUUGAAUUAUUAGGAAGUAACUAGAAUAUGUAGUGUAGCGGUGAAAUGCUUAGAGAUUACAUGGAAUACCAAUUGCGAAGGCAGGUUACUACUAAUGGAUUGACGCUGAUGGACGAAAGCGUGGGUAGCGAACAGG
RNAcentral lists this ribosomal RNA (253 nucleotides) under uncultured bacterium. RNAcentral describes it as "partial 16S ribosomal RNA". It matches the Rfam family "Bacterial small subunit ribosomal RNA", at positions 524 to 776 of the family's 1533-position model. The record is from RNAcentral.